Molecule: ribosomal RNA, 606 nt
Filed under: Triticum aestivum (bread wheat)
Lineage: Eukaryota; Viridiplantae; Streptophyta; Magnoliopsida; Poales; Poaceae
Description: partial small subunit ribosomal RNA
Source: RNAcentral
AUGCCACAGGCCUGGUCUAGGCACAUCCCCUCACGGCCUUGCUCCUCCACCACCACUCACUCCUCUCCAUUCUUUCUCCCCCUGCCAGCCACGGCACUCUCCCUCUCCCGCCUCCCUUCGCCGCAGGACUCCAUGAGGAGUGCGCGGCUGCGCGUGUCUGGCCAGCAGCAACAGCUACGACAGUUCCACGCCGGGAGAAGCUGCGCGCUGGGCGAUGUGGAGGACGACAACCUGCUGCAUCCUCACUCGCGCGCCCUCCUCGUCCCGAAGAGGCGUCGCUGGUGGUGUCCUCCGCCGGAUGCAGGUUGUGCUCGAGCCAAGGCUCUUCUCUUUCAUCAAUUCCAGCACAAAUGUUGGAGGCCCACACGUCAUCCCCAUCUGUCUCCUGGACUUGUGACGGAUGGAAGGCUGCCGGAGAGAUCGAGGCUCGAGGGAGAGGGAGGAGCUGGAGAGAUGGAGACCGCUUCUCCCGGCGUGGAAUUCGGCCGCGAACUCCGCGAGGAAGGCGGCGGUGCCGCCGGGGAGGUCGAGGCUCGAGGGAGAGGGAGGAGUUGGAAAGAUGGAGACCGCUACUCCCGGCGUGGAAUUUGUCCGCGCACUACGUGA